This 363-nucleotide ribosomal RNA is filed under the name Triticum aestivum (bread wheat). Its description in RNAcentral is "partial small subunit ribosomal RNA". The record is from RNAcentral. Lineage: Eukaryota; Viridiplantae; Streptophyta; Magnoliopsida; Poales; Poaceae.
AUGGAGUUGUUGCUUGCCGGGGAGAAGUACAAGGUGGUCGGGUUCGACCUCAAGUACACCCGCGCUCGUGUCGGGUCUUGUCCCAAGGUCGCAUUUGCCCAGAUGUGCGUGCGCCACCACGUCCUCGUCUACCACUACUACCUGGCCACAAGGCCUUGCGAGCAUUUUCCCAGGUUUGUCAACAGCCCCCACUACAUGUUCGCUACGGUGGACAUCACCAACGAUGUAAAGGCACUCGAGAAUUCGGGCAUCGCCUGCCAGAAUCUUGUCGACCUCCAGGGCCAAUACAAGAUCUGGGGAAACAAGGAGCAUGAGAAGGACUCACUGGUUCACCUCGCCGAGGCCAUCAUCGACCCCUACUAA